Molecule: unclassified non-coding RNA, 264 nt
Filed under: Xylariales sp.
Lineage: Eukaryota; Fungi; Ascomycota; Sordariomycetes; Xylariales
Description: partial contains 5.8S ribosomal RNA, internal transcribed spacer 2, and large subunit ribosomal RNA
Source: RNAcentral
CGCACAUUGCGCCCAUUAGUAUUCUGAUGGGCAUGCCUGUUCGAGCGUCAUUUCAACCCUCAAGCCCUAGCUGCUUGGUGUUGGGCACCUGCGGGCCCCGUCCCGCAGGCCCCGAAAGUCAGUGGCGGGCGUGUCGCGACCCCGAGCGUAGUAGUUUACUCGUCUCGCUUAGGGCGUCCGGCGCCGUCCCUCGCCGUAAAACAGCUCUCCGGAGACUAUCACAAGGUUGACCUCGGAUCAGGUAGGAAUACCCGCUGAACUUAA